RNAcentral lists this ribosomal RNA (465 nucleotides) under Vreelandella stevensii. RNAcentral's name for it is "partial 16S ribosomal RNA". It matches the Rfam family "Bacterial small subunit ribosomal RNA", at positions 338 to 795 of the family's 1533-position model. Lineage: Bacteria; Pseudomonadati; Pseudomonadota; Gammaproteobacteria; Oceanospirillales; Halomonadaceae. The record is from RNAcentral.
CCUACGGGUGGCUGCAGUGGGGAAUAUUGGACAAUGGGCGAAAGCCUGAUCCAGCCAUGCCGCGUGUGUGAAGAAGGCCUUCGGGUUGUAAAGCACUUUCAGUGGGGAAGAAAGCCUUGGGGCUAAUACCCUCGAGGAAGGACAUCACCCACAGAAGAAGCACCGGCUAACUCCGUGCCAGCAGCCGCGGUAAUACGGAGGGUGCGAGCGUUAAUCGGAAUUACUGGGCGUAAAGCGCGCGUAGGCGGUCUGAUAAGCCGGUUGUGAAAGCCCCGGGCUCAACCUGGGAACGGCAUCCGGAACUGUCAGGCUAGAGUGCAGGAGAGGAAGGUAGAAUUCCCGGUGUAGCGGUGAAAUGCGUAGAGAUCGGGAGGAAUACCAGUGGCGAAGGUGGUCUUCUGGACUGACACUGACGCUGAGGUGCGAAAGCGUGGGUAGCAAACAGGAUUAGAUACCCCGGUAGUC